This 2904-nucleotide ribosomal RNA is filed under the name Escherichia coli. RNAcentral describes it as "23S ribosomal RNA". It matches the Rfam family "Bacterial large subunit ribosomal RNA". Lineage: Bacteria; Pseudomonadati; Pseudomonadota; Gammaproteobacteria; Enterobacterales; Enterobacteriaceae. The record is from RNAcentral.
GGUUAAGCGACUAAGCGUACACGGUGGAUGCCCUGGCAGUCAGAGGCGAUGAAGGACGUGCUAAUCUGCGAUAAGCGUCGGUAAGGUGAUAUGAACCGUUAUAACCGGCGAUUUCCGAAUGGGGAAACCCAGUGUGAUUCGUCACACUAUCAUUAACUGAAUCCAUAGGUUAAUGAGGCGAACCGGGGGAACUGAAACAUCUAAGUACCCCGAGGAAAAGAAAUCAACCGAGAUUCCCCCAGUAGCGGCGAGCGAACGGGGAGGAGCCCAGAGCCUGAAUCAGUGUGUGUGUUAGUGGAAGCGUCUGGAAAGGCGUGCGAUACAGGGUGACAGCCCCGUACACAAAAAUGCACAUACUGUGAGCUCGAUGAGUAGGGCGGGACACGUGGUAUCCUGUCUGAAUAUGGGGGGACCAUCCUCCAAGGCUAAAUACUCCUGACUGACCGAUAGUGAACCAGUACCGUGAGGGAAAGGCGAAAAGAACCCCGGCGAGGGGAGUGAAAAAGAACCUGAAACCGUGUACGUACAAGCAGUGGGAGCCUCUUUAUGGGGUGACUGCGUACCUUUUGUAUAAUGGGUCAGCGACUUAUAUUCUGUAGCAAGGUUAACCGAAUAGGGGAGCCGAAGGGAAACCGAGUCUUAACUGGGCGUUAAGUUGCAGGGUAUAGACCCGAAACCCGGUGAUCUAGCCAUGGGCAGGUUGAAGGUUGGGUAACACUAACUGGAGGACCGAACCGACUAAUGUUGAAAAAUUAGCGGAUGACUUGUGGCUGGGGGUGAAAGGCCAAUCAAACCGGGAGAUAGCUGGUUCUCCCCGAAAGCUAUUUAGGUAGCGCCUCGUGAAUUCAUCUCCGGGGGUAGAGCACUGUUUCGGCAAGGGGGUCAUCCCGACUUACCAACCCGAUGCAAACUGCGAAUACCGGAGAAUGUUAUCACGGGAGACACACGGCGGGUGCUAACGUCCGUCGUGAAGAGGGAAACAACCCAGACCGCCAGCUAAGGUCCCAAAGUCAUGGUUAAGUGGGAAACGAUGUGGGAAGGCCCAGACAGCCAGGAUGUUGGCUUAGAAGCAGCCAUCAUUUAAAGAAAGCGUAAUAGCUCACUGGUCGAGUCGGCCUGCGCGGAAGAUGUAACGGGGCUAAACCAUGCACCGAAGCUGCGGCAGCGACACUAUGUGUUGUUGGGUAGGGGAGCGUUCUGUAAGCCUGUGAAGGUGGCCUGUGAGGGUUGCUGGAGGUAUCAGAAGUGCGAAUGCUGACAUAAGUAACGAUAAAGCGGGUGAAAAGCCCGCUCGCCGGAAGACCAAGGGUUCCUGUCCAACGUUAAUCGGGGCAGGGUGAGUCGACCCCUAAGGCGAGGCCGAAAGGCGUAGUCGAUGGGAAACAGGUUAAUAUUCCUGUACUUGGUGUUACUGCGAAGGGGGGACGGAGAAGGCUAUGUUGGCCGGGCGACGGUUGUCCCGGUUUAAGCGUGUAGGCUGGUUUUCCAGGCAAAUCCGGAAAAUCAAGGCUGAGGCGUGAUGACGAGGCACUACGGUGCUGAAGCAACAAAUGCCCUGCUUCCAGGAAAAGCCUCUAAGCAUCAGGUAACAUCAAAUCGUACCCCAAACCGACACAGGUGGUCAGGUAGAGAAUACCAAGGCGCUUGAGAGAACUCGGGUGAAGGAACUAGGCAAAAUGGUGCCGUAACUUCGGGAGAAGGCACGCUGAUAUGUAGGUGAAGCGACUUGCUCGUGGAGCUGAAAUCAGUCGAAGAUACCAGCUGGCUGCAACUGUUUAUUAAAAACACAGCACUGUGCAAACACGAAAGUGGACGUAUACGGUGUGACGCCUGCCCGGUGCCGGAAGGUUAAUUGAUGGGGUUAGCGGUAACGCGAAGCUCUUGAUCGAAGCCCCGGUAAACGGCGGCCGUAACUAUAACGGUCCUAAGGUAGCGAAAUUCCUUGUCGGGUAAGUUCCGACCUGCACGAAUGGCGUAAUGAUGGCCAGGCUGUCUCCACCCGAGACUCAGUGAAAUUGAACUCGCUGUGAAGAUGCAGUGUACCCGCGGCAAGACGGAAAGACCCCGUGAACCUUUACUAUAGCUUGACACUGAACAUUGAGCCUUGAUGUGUAGGAUAGGUGGGAGGCUUUGAAGUGUGGACGCCAGUCUGCAUGGAGCCGACCUUGAAAUACCACCCUUUAAUGUUUGAUGUUCUAACGUUGGCCCCUGAUCGGGGUUGCGGACAGUGUCUGGUGGGUAGUUUGACUGGGGCGGUCUCCUCCUAAAGAGUAACGGAGGAGCACGAAGGUUGGCUAAUCCUGGUCGGACAUCAGGAGGUUAGUGCAAUGGCAUAAGCCAGCUUGACUGCGAGCGUGACGGCGCGAGCAGGUGCGAAAGCAGGUCAUAGUGAUCCGGUGGUUCUGAAUGGAAGGGCCAUCGCUCAACGGAUAAAAGGUACUCCGGGGAUAACAGGCUGAUACCGCCCAAGAGUUCAUAUCGACGGCGGUGUUUGGCACCUCGAUGUCGGCUCAUCACAUCCUGGGGCUGAAGUAGGUCCCAAGGGUAUGGCUGUUCGCCAUUUAAAGUGGUACGCGAGCUGGGUUUAGAACGUCGUGAGACAGUUCGGUCCCUAUCUGCCGUGGGCGCUGGAGAACUGAGGGGGGCUGCUCCUAGUACGAGAGGACCGGAGUGGACGCAUCACUGGUGUUCGGGUUGUCAUGCCAAUGGCACUGCCCGGUAGCUAAAUGCGGAAGAGAUAAGUGCUGAAAGCAUCUAAGCACGAAACUUGCCCCGAGAUGAGUUCUCCCUGACCCUUUAAGGGUCCUGAAGGAACGUUGAAGACGACGACGUUGAUAGGCCGGGUGUGUAAGCGCAGCGAUGCGUUGAGCUAACCGGUACUAAUGAACCGUGAGGCUUAACCUU